This 69-nucleotide transfer RNA is filed under the name Loxodonta africana (African savanna elephant). It matches the Rfam family "tRNA". From Rfam's summary of the family: Transfer RNA (tRNA) molecules are approximately 80 nucleotides in length. Their secondary structure includes four short double-helical elements and three loops (D, anti-codon, and T loops). Further hydrogen bonds mediate the characteristic L-shaped molecular structure. tRNAs have two regions of fundamental functional importance: the anti-codon, which is responsible for specific mRNA codon recognition, and the 3' end, to which the tRNAs corresponding amino acid is attached (by aminoacyl-tRNA synthetases). tRNAs cope with the degeneracy of the genetic code in two manners: having more than one tRNA (with a specific anti-codon) for a particular amino acid; and 'wobble' base-pairing, i.e. permitting non-standard base-pairing at the 3rd anti-codon position. The record is from Rfam by way of RNAcentral. Lineage: Eukaryota; Metazoa; Chordata; Mammalia; Proboscidea; Elephantidae.
GCUGGUAGUUCAGUGGUAGGAUUCUCACCUUCCACAUGGGAGACCCAGGUUCAAUUCCUGGCCAAUGCA